Molecule: ribosomal RNA, 1338 nt
Filed under: Triticum aestivum (bread wheat)
Lineage: Eukaryota; Viridiplantae; Streptophyta; Magnoliopsida; Poales; Poaceae
Description: partial small subunit ribosomal RNA
Source: RNAcentral
AUGCCACCAGUUCUGGAGAGUGAUAUGCAUAGCAGGGAAUAUCUUGUGGAACAUAAACGCAAGGGCGAGGCGUAUUUGAAGGAAAGGGAUGCAAGGAUUGCGGAACGCAAGGCUGCAGAGCGGGAGCAUCUUAAAGGCAUACGAAGCUUAGCUCGUAGCCUUGUAUACCCUAGUGCCUCUAAUGCGCAACCGACGCAAAAUGCACGAGGUGCUGAUGAUCGCAGCGACUCGGAGUAUGAACCAGAUGCUGAAGAGGAGGCCCAUGGAGAGGAAGAGGAUUUGAUAGAUGAAGAGGAGUUCGAUGUUGCUAAGUCUAAAAUGAUGGCACCUGAAGGUUCUACCAUGCCAAAAACGAAAAAGCGUGGCAGAUCCAAAAAUAGUGCAGUGGCUACCUCAAGAAUAACAAGAUGUAGAGCUACCACAACAACUGAGUCAGUUGAAGCUACAAACCAUCAAGAACAGUCUGCACCAAAUCCAACAAACACAUCACCUCACCUAACUUCUAAGGAUAGCAACUCGCUUCAUGCUGAUUCAGGGGUACAAGAUGCGUUAGCAUGCUCCACUGGUCCAACUGAUCCACGGCCAUCAAGGAGAGGUCGUGGACGUAGACCAACCAUGGGGCAUGGGCUUCAGGAGUAUGCAAGCAGAAAUGGAGGGAAGAAAAUGCGUAUUGAUUUUACAGCAGGGAAACUUAACUUUGAGAUGGAAAAGGAUGACAAGGUUGGGAAUGAUGUAUGCACAAAAGUAAUCCAGAAGGGUGUUCGACAACAACACUAUAGGCUAAAGAAGAAAUACUUCAAUGGUUAUACUGCUCAGGAAGCAUUAUCAAAUAAGCCAGCAAACAUUACUCACGAGAAUUGGACCAGCCUUCUCAAUAAAUGGUCCGAUGAAAGAAACAAGCAAUUAUGUCAAAUGAAUAAGGAAAACCAAGAAGCUGUCAAGCAUCACCAAAAGACUGGAUCUAUGUCUUAUGUUGCCUAUUUCAGCAAACUUAAAAAAGACAAGUACAAUAAUCAGGAACCAAGUCCCAUUGAGUUUUUCAAAGAUACCCAUACAAACAGCAAGACUGGUAGCAUGAGCGAGCCAGCACUUCUAGCUCAUAAUGCGAUGGAAAAGAAAAGGAAAACACAAUCAGAAGGUGAGCAACCAGUAUCUGAUACAGCGAUUGUUGCUGAAGUUCUAAAGGAUGAAAGCGCCCAUAGCACCUUCCUUUCCAGCAUGGGGUAUGCAUCAAGAUCUGGGAGGUCUGGGAGCUCUACUUCAUCAGCCCAGAUCCGAAUUUUAGAAGAAAGAAUUGAACAGAAGGAUAGAGAGGCAAGAGAUGCAAAUGAUAGGUGA